AGAGUUUGAUCCUGGCUCAGAACGAACGCUGGCGGCGUGUUUAAGACAUGCAAGUCGCACGGAACCAAAUUGGUAGUAAUACUCGUUUGGUUCAGUGGCGCACGGGUGAGUAACACGUGAAUUACAUGCCCUUCAGUGGGGAAUAGCCCAGGGAAACUUGGAUUAAUACCCCAUGGUAUCGCAAGAUUAAAGGUGGCCGCAAGGCUGUCGCUGAAGGAUUGGUUCGCGCCCUAUCAGCUUGUUGGUGAGGUAAUGGCUCACCAAGGCUACGACGGGUACCUGGUCUGAGAGGACGAUCAGGCACACUGGAACUGAGACACGGUCCAGACACCUACGGGUGGCAGCAGUCGAGAAUAAUUCACAAUGGACGAAAGUCUGAUGGUGCAACGCCGCGUGGAGGAUGACGGUCUUCGGAUUGUAAACUCCUGUCAUCCGGGAGUAAGACCUGGCUGUGAAUAGCAGACAGGGUUGAUAGUACCGGAAGAGGAAGGGACGGCUAACUUCGUGCCAGCAGCCGCGGUAAUAC
RNAcentral lists this ribosomal RNA (526 nucleotides) under uncultured bacterium. RNAcentral's name for it is "bacterial SSU rRNA". It matches the Rfam family "Bacterial small subunit ribosomal RNA", at positions 8 to 526 of the family's 1533-position model. The record is from RNAcentral.